RNAcentral lists this small nucleolar RNA (81 nucleotides) under Carlito syrichta (Philippine tarsier). RNAcentral describes it as "Small nucleolar RNA SNORD115 (ENSTSYG00000027494.1)". It matches the Rfam family "Small nucleolar RNA SNORD115". Rfam says of the family: HBII-52 is a member of the C/D class of snoRNAs, which contain the C (UGAUGA) and D (CUGA) box motifs. Lineage: Eukaryota; Metazoa; Chordata; Mammalia; Primates; Tarsiidae. The record is from Rfam by way of RNAcentral.
GGGUCAGUGGUAAGUACUUUAUAUUGCCUUGAGGAGAGAUGAUAACUUAAAUAUCAUGUACAAGGCAUGAUGUUCAGGCCC